Molecule: transfer RNA, 72 nt
Filed under: Phrynosoma platyrhinos (Desert horned lizard)
Lineage: Eukaryota; Metazoa; Chordata; Lepidosauria; Squamata; Phrynosomatidae
Description: tRNA-OTHER
Source: RNAcentral
GCCAGCAUGGCAUAGUGGUUUGAACAUUGGACUAUCACUCUGGAGACCAGGGUUCAAAUCCUGGCUCAGCCA